Long non-coding RNA from Leopardus geoffroyi (Geoffroy's cat), 4558 nucleotides. RefSeq lists it as uncharacterized. The record is from RefSeq and is a predicted model, not a curated record. The transcript has 2 exons. Lineage: Eukaryota; Metazoa; Chordata; Mammalia; Carnivora; Felidae.
GCAGUCCCCUAUGUGACUAAGGACUGGGAUAAGAGUGACAGCUUCACAAUGGGGAUAGUAAGUGAUAAAGCUUUUUCCUAGUAUGUUCAAAGACUCCAGAAUCUAAAACUUAACUUCUCUGCUAUCCAUCCAUACAAUUUUCAUUAAGAGAAAUUUACACCAUCUAGGAAGUCAAAUGCCACCUUUAUUUUUAUCUUAUCAAACCCUAAAAUAAAGGCCAGCAUGUGGUGUGGACAGGAGCCUUGGUUAGGAUCACAAAAAUUCUCACAUCAAAUAAUUGAUUUAAGUUAGAGCCAAGUUCAUCAACAAUAAGAUGACAGGGUUCAGGCAAAGUCAGUUGCCUGUUUACAUUUCAGAAAGACUAGCAUUGCUCCUGACACUAGUACAUAGGUAUAAGCAACCUCUGGGUGGGUAAUGCCACCAAACAAAAGCAACACCUUCAAAGUCUCUCGGUGACUAAAGGCAGCCAGACACUCAAACUGCCAGUCCUGAAUUACGGCCUCUGAAUGGUGAGGGCUUCACAUUUCACUGAUCAGGGCACAGCCCAAUCAGAAGACAAACCCCUGCACUGCCAGGGACCAGCAAAUCCGCUUUCUUCCAGAGUGCACAUGACUGAAUGUGCUUCUGUCCAUCAUCUGGGUCAUAUAUAGUUCAAUGCGAGCUGAGCAGACAGGGCUGCAAGGAAAUCUGGCGCGGUUCAAUACCUCGUCUACCCUGGGUUCCAGUAUCUAAUUUUUUUUACUGACAAACUCAUUUCUCUACCGGGACAGGAUGCUGUGCUGGCUGGAAGUUCCAUUUCUACAGCAAGAAUCCUAUCUGGAAACACAGAAGUUGUCCUCUAGCCACAGCAGCUCGAACUUUUUUGAUUGUUGUUGCUGCUUUCUCCCAUCACCCCCACCCCCUUUUGACAAAGAUCCAACUGUAAAAAGUCUUACGUAACAGUUCAGGACUACUUCGGUUCUUUUACUGGUAUAUCAAGAGGCCUCAAGAGGACUAUGAAAACAAUUACAUCUCUAAGUUGGAGCAAUGUGGGUUUCAGUAUUUCGUAGUACCUCUGGAAAAGGAAAGAAGGUAAGUCAAACAGUAAAGGAUGGCAUGGUGAGUUUUGACCAACUCAAAACCAAUGUAAAUCAAGAAUGAAAUAGACCGGUUUAUUAAAUUUGUAGUUUCUAUCACUCUCGGCUAAUUUUAGCCUUAACUUUUUUUUUUUUUUUUUAACUCUUAAGCUUUAUCCUUGCAUUAAGUAUAUAAACACCUUAGCAAACUCAUUUAAAAGACCCAAUGUGUGCCUCAAACUUGCCUGAUGGUAAAAACUAAAAUUAAGGACUUAAAGCAAAUUAAAGGAGUGAGGAUAAUGGUGGCCUUUCUUGCCAUGAAAAUUACCUCAAAUACAGUGGGAAACACCCCUAUGUCAUUCUAGAAACCUACCUUUCACGCUGCUCUAGUUUUUCAAGUCUAUGAAAAGCAUUCUUCUUAGAAUGCCAUGAAUUUGAGCAAUGGUAUUUUGUAGACAUCUAAUGGCUUGGAGCAGCAGAAGUCAGUAUUUUUUAAAAGUCUGAACAUUUGUCCAAAUGGUAUAAGGCAUUGACAUCUCUUCAAACUAUCAGAUCAAGAGGAAGACUGUUUAAACACAUUAAAGAGUUUUUAAACUACUACACAGUAACAGUUGCUUGAUUUUUGUUUUCAUUUGUAUACAAUUCACUGUCAUAACACUGAGAACUCAACAAAGCUGGCUAACUGGAGUGUUUUGACAGAGGGUGAAAUAAUUAAAUUGACAUAGAAUGUAAACAGUUUACAUUCAUACCAAAUUCUCAGUGGUUGAUUUUUUUUUUAAUGUGUACCACUUGGCUGCUCUAAAAAUGAAUUUGAGAAGAGUCAAUCUUUAAUACUUAAAUCUAAAGCAAAUGACAAUAACUAUCCCUGAUUAAAGAUUAACCUUAAUUCAGCCAGCAGUUCUGUAAGCCCUUCUACUGAGCACUCCUAGAUCCCUCCCAUUAGAAACCCCGCAUUCUGAAAAGUUGCAUAUAAUUAAUUCAUGCUCCAGAUUUUUAAUCAAGGACAUUCAGUAGCCAAUAAAAAAUAACUAGUAUGUCUAUAAUGUACCAAUACUCUUCAUGCCAAAAGCAAAGACACCUGACAUUUUAGUUAACUCUCUGUGACCUUACUGAAGAGAAAUGCAGGCUUUCUACUAGGUAAUGGAGUUUUUGUUUAUUUUUUGUUUUUUCAAUAUGGAAAAUCACUUGUAGACAAUCACUGAACCUCUGUGGUAACUCAGCAAUCCAGGAUCUCAACUAGAAAGAUCACCAGCUAUUAAGGUCAAUUUUUUUCAUCGUCCUCUAUGAAAUAUUUCACCUACAGACCCACCUACUAUUAAUACAAGUAAAUAAGGAGAAAAUGUUUACUUAUUUGACUUAGCUCUCACUGAAGAUGUUACCCCCCGAUACACAACAGUAAGUUUUGUGGUGGACAAGGAAGGAGGUGAUCUGAUCAAUGAAUGAGCUUUGCAUUCAAAAAAUCCAACAUUCAAGUUCUGGCUUAUAACCUUAACUCCUGGCUAUGUAACUUUGGGCAAAUCAUUUCAUUUCUCAACUCAGUUUUUUCAUGAGGUACAAGUGGGUUGUUGAGAGUUUAAUGAGAUAAAAAUAUACAAAUCCCAGCAUAUAACAGAGUCCACAAUGUAUGUUAAUUUCUUUCUUACCCAUACCCUUUAAUAAUGAACCUACUAUAAAAAUGAGGUACUCGACAUUUUCAGAAUUAAAAAAUAAUACCAUUCAAAGCCAUUUUCUCAGCCAUCCACUGGAGUCGGCUUGCAUAAACAACUGCAGCCUCGCCAGUUCAUUAAGUUCAUUAGCCCUCUGCUGUACACAAACUGAUUUCAUAAUUUAAAUACUCUCAACCUGAAAUCUGGAAAAGAAUAUGAGAGCCUCUAUCAGCAGUCAUCUCACUGCUUAAUGGCUCCUGGAACAUGGGCCCAGGCUGAAGAAGGGCUGACAGGGCCAGAACCCAGCCUUCAGAGGACUCCAAGGAACAUUCAACGCUGUCGGUGAGUUUGGGAUUUGAAAAAACCACCGACCGUUGACUGUACCUUGGGGUCUUUACAAACAGCACUACAUUUCCUGAAGCAAGGGAGCAGGCUGUACCUUCACAUGUCACAUAAGAUCACCAGAACCAGUCCUGCUGCCUGUCCCCCAAAGGUGAUCCAGUGAAUUUUUUAAGAGCUCCUAUUUCUAUUAUCCACUGUUCCUUGCUUUUUGUUGUGUUUUUGACAAAUAAGUGCUUCAUUUCAAUAAGAUAAGGAGAACUCCAUGAUAAUACCUAACGUAUUUAAAAAUGCCUCCUAGAAAUAUGCCACCCUGGUGAGAAAUAGGAUUAGCAAGGAAAGACAUUAAAAAUAUGUAUUUCGGUUUGGAGCCACAUUCAAUUAAGUAUUUUACACCCAUUUCUUCCACAUCCCCUUAAAACUUUUAUUAAGGGCAAGAGAAGGAUUUACUAAGCAAAAAUAGCACAAAACUAUCUAAUAUCUGCACAGCUCUUAUCACAUCCUACCUCCAAUUACAGUUAAUGUGGUUAAGUUUUGACAGCCCUGUUAGAACAUGAGCUGUUUGAAAGCAACUAUUGCUUCACUAUUUCUUUCCACACAUGUGCUUAUUUAAGUAUUUGUUUGUUAAAUUCAAGUAAAAAAAAAAAAAAAAAAAAAAAGGUCUGGAGUCAGAGAUCUGGGAUGAAUCUUGGUUAGACUUCCUAACUAAGCUCUGUGACCACAGGCAAGUAUCUGAGUCUGUUUUCUCGUGUAUAAAAUGGGAAAUAAGAACACUUACCUCAUGAAGUUUUGAGAUUCAAUGAGAUAAAAUAUAAAGUGCUUUCUACCAUUCCUAGCACACAGCAAAUACUCAAUAUAUGUAAGCUACUAUUAUUAUUUAACCCCAAACGUAACCUGUGCUAAUUUACCUUGAAAAGCACUAUUUCUCAGUUCAAAACAGAAGGAAAAGCCAGGACCCUCAACUCUUGUUUACAUCUACAAGGUAUGCAAGCACUGCCCUUGUGGUCAUAGAGCUACCUGUUAGCUUCUCCAAGGGCUCCUUCCAUUCUCUGAAACAGUUUCUCAUCUUUAAGGACCUCCCAGCUCUAGUAUCAAUGUUAUCUAUAACCAUGUGGGCCCUCGACCACUGGUUACUGAGAGAGAUGCCAGACACAGAACUCAAAGAACCCGUGUGGAAAAGAAGAGCCAGGAAUUCGGGAGUGCCAAGGCAACUCCACCAAAUGGAAACACUGAUGGCUGCACUCAACAUUCAUUGCUGUCGGUGGGUUUGAGUCUGAAUCAACUCACUGAUCAAUGAAUGCAAACUGCGGACCAAACAACCUAAGGGAAGCAAAAGCAGAGAGUCACUUGAGUGCAUCAGCUACUGUGCUGGGUGGAUGCUGCUGCGGUCUCCAAUACACUGGUUAAAGCCUCUCUUACUCUCUUUGGUUCUAUUAUGGAAUAAGCACUCUAAAUUCCUAGAAUUCUUCUUUUUCUUUUUUUUUUUUUAAUGUUCUAGAGUUAAAUGAUAUUUUAUAG